CACCCUGACUGAAAGUGUGACGUGACCAGCUCCCCACAGUUUCCCCACCAUGAUGGAGAGUAUCCUUUCAAACGUGGCUGAGGAGCGCAAAAUAAUAACAGGUGCCAAUGAUCAUGUGUCAGAAAGUGCUGGGAUAUUGGCAAACCUGCUGGAUGGACACUUUUGGCACUGUCGGCUCCAGUGUACAGAAUGCUGACAGCUCCCCGUUUCUCGUAGGCAACUCCUGUGCUUCCCAGGCUCCGGGGAAGAAGCAUGGCAAGUGGAAACCAGUGUUUUCUGGACAUCAGAAUCCUGCUUCAAAGCACAGGAUCACUGAGAAGAGUAUGGUGGCUGGAGACGCAGAGCAGAAGUCCUGGACUCGGGCCCACCUUUUAUUAGCCUGGAUCCUGUUGCUGUGCCUGUACCUCUUGGUGCUUCCACUUCUCCAUCUGUAAAGCAGUAAUAACCCUGACCUAACUCACCUCAAGAGGGACAGGUCUGGAGGCUUUAGAUCUGCAGCCUGCUGUACGGAGGGGGAUGGGCUAGGUGAUUUGUUCAUGCCUUUAUUUUGUUUUGAGGCUGGAUUUCACUUAUGUAGCCUUGGCUGUCCUGGAACUCUCUAUGUAGCCCAGGCUGCCCUAGAAUUUACAGAGAUCUGCCUGCCUCUGCUGAGCUGGAAUUAAAUAUGUAUGUCAUCACACCUAGCAUGAUACAAUGCCACACACAGAUACUCCUCUACUUACUGUCAGAACCCGAGCAACUAACCAUAAACUGAGAUUUUGUGAUGGGGCUGCAGGGAGGGUGCAAGGAGCAAGAGCACCCCCUGUGAAGACCUGAGGACCUGAGUUUGAAUCUCUAGUACCUGCUUAUAAAAGCUAAGCACGGCUGUGGGUGCCUGUAACCUCAGCAUUGAGGGUAGAGACACAGAGAGAUGGACCCUGGGACUUUUCUGACCAACCAGCUUAGUCAAAACAACAACCUUUCCAUUCAGUUUGAGACCCUGUCUGGAGCUUCCCAUCCAGUGAGGGACUCUGUCCCACGGGAAUAAGACAGCAUGUGAUAGAGGGAGCCGACCAAUGUUUUCCUCCAGUCUCUGCAGGAGUAUGUGCAGACAUUUCCAUCUGUACACUCAUGUGUGACACCCAUAUCCCUAUACUACACACAAACACACACACACACACACACACAGAGAGAGAGAGAGAGAGAGAGAGAGAGAGAGGCGCAUGAUAAGUGAAGAUACAGUAUAUGCCUCCUUUCAAGACCAUGAGGCCUAAUGGGAGCUGUCACUGCUGCCUGGCCUCACAAGGGAGCACAACACUACAUCUUGCUCCAAAGUUUCCUGUCUCCUGAAGGCAUGUUGCCUUCAUGCCACGGUAAAGUUCGAAACUCCCAAGUCAGACCAUCGCAAGUCAAAGCCAUCGCUACCACUCUCUGAAAAAUAAAAACCAUAAGAGCAGCACAAGGCUAGGCGUGGUGCAACUCAGGGCAUAGAGACAAGAGCGCGGAGAGUUAAAGGCCAGCCUGGGCUGAGGAGCGAAACUCUGAGAAACAAACAAGCUGGGGCCAGAGAGACGGCUCAGUGGGUAAAAUUGCUUGCCAUUCUUGCAGAGGACCUGGAUUCAGUUCCCAGCACCUACACGGUGGCUCACAACCAUCCAACCAUCUGCAAUUCCAGUUUCAAGGGAUCUGGUGUCCUUUUCUGGCCUCCACAGGCAUUAGACAUGCAGGUGACGCACAGACAUAUAUGCUGGCAAAACACUUAUAAAAAUUAAAUAACACUUAUAAAGAUUAACUAACAUAACGCUCUUGUCACUCAAACAUAACGCAUCUCUUUCAGGUAUCCAGUCUUCACUCAGCAUCUUGAAGAACUUUUCCUCCUAGCACAAAUAAACUCUUUUAAGUGGCUGCCUGAUACCCUACAACAGUAAUUCUCAACUUGCGGGCUGUGGCCCCUCUGGCAAACCUCUGCCUCCAAAACUAUUUACAUUACCAUUCACAAUAGUAGCAAGAUUACGGUUAAGAGAAGUAGCAACAGAAAUAAUUUUAUGCUUGGGGGUCACCACAACAUGAGGAACUGUAUUAAAGGGCUUAGCAAAUCCCUUCCAGGUGGAUAUUUGAGAUUGCCUUUAUGGUGAGUCCCAGGGAGACAGGCAGCGCAGAGCCCUUCGUCACCCCUGAUGUCAAGCACCUCCUCAUUGGUCGGUUUAGUAAUCCUCAGACCUCCAGACUCUGAGACUGUGGGAGCCGGAUGUAGCAGGCAUUUCUGGCCUCAGGAUGGGAGGAGCAGGCCCGGAGCACAGGAAGCUCAGAAGGAAACAAAUCUAGGGAAGUCAUCAUGGGGCUUUGUGUCUUGAAAUCGGCCGGGCUGACUGCCUCUCGAGGAGUGUUCAACCUGUGCCCCACAGAAUCACCUGGGGACCGUCUCCAAUCUCAGAGCCAGACCGCGCUCCGGGUCCAUCUAAUUAAAGCAGGAUCUCUUGGGGCAGCCCUUGGUCUCAGCCGGCUGACAGAAUUGCAGUUAUUCUCUUGUACAGCCACAAGAAACCACAGCACAGAAGCUUGGAAGUAAUAACAGCACGACCAGCCUGCGGCCCUUUAUAUUCUUCUUUUGUUCCGCCCUAUGAGAGAGAGGUCUGAUGUCCCCGCGGCCUACAAGCCCGAUAUUUAACUACCCUGGUGUGUACACGGAGCAGUUCUUAUUUAAGUCCUGGCUAAGUUUUUAUUUGGUCACCUUUUUUGACUCUUAUUCAAAAUUGUUUAUGUAAAUUGGUAAGAAGCUUUUAGCAGGCAAUUUGGCAAUUUGUUUCAAGAGCUGUAAAAUGGCUCAGAAUUAUUGGCUCAGAUAUUCCAUUUUUGGACGCGAUCCUAAAGAAAUAACAUAAGUAUGGAGAAAACACAAUGUAAGAUGUUCAUUGUUCCACUAUUUAUGUUAAUUGAAAAUUGGAGAAAUCUAAUGUCUAAUGAUAAUAGGAGUGGCUCUUCUGUGAUACCUCUAUUUGGAAGCAUAAGUAACCAUAAAUACUAUAGCCACGAAGACAAAGUAAUAACAUGGAAAAUGCUUGUGCUAUAAACUUAAAUGAAAAUCCAGGACCCAAGACUGUGUGGAUACAGUAUAAUCUCA
Molecule: long non-coding RNA, 3100 nt
Organism: Psammomys obesus (fat sand rat)
Lineage: Eukaryota; Metazoa; Chordata; Mammalia; Rodentia; Muridae
Exons: 3
Source: RefSeq, a predicted model, not a curated record